This is a long non-coding RNA of Aedes albopictus (Asian tiger mosquito), 2729 nucleotides long. RefSeq lists it as uncharacterized. The transcript is spliced from 2 exons. NCBI's taxonomy places the organism in Eukaryota, Metazoa, Arthropoda, Insecta, Diptera, Culicidae. The record is from RefSeq and is a predicted model, not a curated record.
UUAUCUUCGACUCAGCAAAUUUACCGCGCGAAGGUUUCGGUAAUUAAACUUUUGCUCCAGUCGAGUGAUAAACAGCAAAGAUCACACAGAUGCGUGACUCAGUCGCAAAGCAAAGGGAAUGAGUUGUAUCUUGAGCUUAGUAUUUCGGCCCGAUCCACCAGGUCAGACACCUCUCUCAAGCGAAGGGCUGAUAAACUGACAGAUGAGAAAUACUUAAAGAACAAUCAUUAACUCAAUUCUCUUUACCUGGUUCUGAGUGUAGUUGCCGCUUUCGCAAUCUCGAUUUUUCUAAGUCCAGAGCUAGAAACCUUUCUUAGGCGAAGGUCUAGUGAUUCUGGAGGGAAUCUUCGAGUUACCAAAGUGACACUAGGACUUUCUUUCUGAAGUGAAACGGUCGACCUUAGGGAGCACACUAACUUUAUUUCUAACUAUGAGCUUAUAUUUAUACGGACAAACUUAACUGACAAAUGUACCUGAGAAGAAAUGAAUCAUAUUUUUGUUUUGGUUACUUCUUAACGAAGCUGCCUGCACAUGCUAAUUUUACCUAGUCCUAUUUCCUUUUGUCCUUUCUCUCUACCCAAAGGCUUCAGAUAACGUUGCUUAUCUGCCGUUAUGCGUACCGCUGCCUGAAAAGGUUUUGCUUUUAUUAUUUUAUGACUGCUUUCCAGAUUGUUCUGGCGACCUGUCUGGGUUCCAUUUAUGGUAGUAGUAGAAAUUUGGACAAAUUAUACGAUACACUUCGGUUUCGUUAAUUGAUGAUUGAAAUUAAUAAUAUCGCGUGGCAACACCGACUCCCGUAAAUCCACUAGAUUUACUAAAUUUGUAUGCGAUAUUCCUAUUAUUUUUGCAUUAUUUGAUGAUUACAUACAGUGAAUGCUUAAGUUCGUACUGAUCAUUUUCUUAUUUGCUAUAUGUAUAUUUUAUUUAAGUUUCUCGUUUGAAAUUAUGUAUUACAUAUUAAUCAUACUACACUAUGCGGUUGUCAGAUGUUUUUGUAUGUGGAAAACUUGGUCUUCCUUGUUCAAUAUCUAAAGGUAUAUUAUCUGUAUUUGAAAUACUUCUGAUUUGUUGUGCCUGUUUCUUAUUAUUCUUGUGCGAUAGAAGAUUUGUUAUUGAAUCCCAGAAAGAUGCUAUCAAUUUCCAACUGAAUCCAUAGAUAUCGUAUAGUAUUUUUCCAUGUACCAAAGUAUCUAUAACAAAUUUUAUUGCUCGUAAAAUGAGAUAUAAUCCGAUGCCAGUUGAAGUUAGAUUUCCCAACCAAUUUGACCAAGAUAUUAAACGUUUCCAAUAUUUACUUACUACAUUGUCUAUUAUACGUUCAGAUAUUAAAGCUUCAAAUUUAAACCCUUGUAAAUUUGGAUGACGCCCAGUUAAAACUUGAUAAACAACAGACGAAGCGACUCGCUUUCCGUCUUGCUCGUAAAUAAGAUUUCUCAUCUUUUGUAGACUAUCUGAAUCGUAAACACCACUUUGCAUUAGAUUUGGCAAUGAAGUAUAUGACCAAUUUGUUACAAUAUCGGAUGAUAUCUUGUUCGGAGCGGUUGUUUCCCUAAAACGUCCAUCGGUCGUGUACCACCUAUUUCCGAACAUAAAUUUGGCUGGUAAUAAUGGUGUACAGUCUAUUUCGGUACCACGUACACUGAAAUAAAUUUCAUGGUACAUCGAACCAUUCAACCAUUAUUAAUAUUACCAUGCCUAAAAAUAGUAACAGUGAGCAUGUUUUCAGUGAUGACUACUAUGGUUUCCUUACAAUUACCAUGGUUUGACAACCAUGCCAAUAGUAAUGAAUACUAUUUAAUAUGGUUGUCUGGAGUGCGUUUUCGUCGUUGUCUGAACCAUGUUCAUGUUUACCUACAACUAUUCUCAUGUUCAGUUAUACCACGUUAUACUGUUUCCAUGAGUUAUCGACUUCGGUGAUAUCACCGUCAUUCUUCCAACAAAUUAUUUGCGACGUAGUUUCAUGAGAAUUUGCUAUGGAGAUAAAUUUUGUUUUAUAAAACUGGGGCAACUCGACCAAUGAUGUACCCACUAACUAUUCUGUCUAACAGGCCACCGGCUCGGCCAUCGGAUUUAGAAUUCGAGACCUUCAUCAAGGCGAACAUAGAUGAAAAGUUUCGGGAAUAGGCUAAUGGAAGCGAAAAGUAAGACACGAUUUUUUGAAAUUAUAACACAUCCUCCACCACGUAUUCCAUCAUCCACAGGCUAUUUCACAGGUUGUAAAAAUCAUUAACGUUACCGAAUGACCCGGAGUAACUGCUACAGGCCAAAGAACAACCUGAAUCAUCUCGAAAUGUGUAAAAUUGAUACAUUGAAGCAGAAAAAUCCGCCCUGUGGAUGACUUCCGAUCCGCGGAUGGACGGUGGCUAUUUCCCGGAUUCUUUCUCUAUCAAUUCCUCCGCCGCUGGUUAAUACAGUCAUGCCUUGGUCACCCGAAACCUAUUAACUAAAUCGCACGAAGUCACUGACUGGAACGAAUUCCUUCGUCACUACAUCCUUCCAGUCGCAUUCAGUAGCUAAAAUUCUUGGACAUCCCGCAGAAACUAAAACAUGAUUCAUCAGUUCCGGAAAUGCAUGUAUCGUCGGAAGAGAAACGAAUUUCAUCGUGAAAGUGGCCAAAAGGAAGCUUGCCUCAGGCGCCCCUGGAGGACAUCCAUAUUAUAGUAAAAAGUGUAUCUUAUAUUUACUUCACUUUACAGAGAGAAACAGCAAUAAAUCCAAUCGAUUUCAUA